Molecule: small RNA, 4493 nt
Filed under: Pan troglodytes (chimpanzee)
Lineage: Eukaryota; Metazoa; Chordata; Mammalia; Primates; Hominidae
Description: retained intron
Source: RNAcentral
AUUCUAUGUAACACGACAGCCUGCUUCAGCUUUGCUUCCUUCCAAACCUGCCACAGUUCCACGUACAGUCUUCAAGCCACAUACACCCUAGUGGCAAAAGCUACACAGUCCCUCAGCAAUACCAACAGUGAGGAAGAGCCCCUUCCCACCCCAGAGGCAGCCACUGUCCCCAGCCCAUGUCCCUGUUGCUGGAUGUGGUGGGCCGGUUCUCACCCUCACGCUCCCCUCUCUGGACCGGCCAGGAGGCUUGGUGACCCUGAGCCCGUGGUGGCUGCUCCUGCUGCUGUCAGGCGGGGCCUGCUGGUGCCCCAGAGUGGGCGUCUGUUCCCCAGUCCCUGCUUUCCUCAGCUGGCCUGAUUGGGGGUCUGCCCAGAGGGGUCGUCUGAGGGGAGGGUGUGGGAGCAGGUUCCAUCCCGGCUCAGCCUCCUGACCCAGGCCCUGGCUAAGGGCUGCAGGAGUCUGUGAGUCAGGCCUACGUGGCAACUGCGGUCCUCACACCCACACAUACGUCUGUUCCCACACGCAUCCCCCCAGGGGCCCUCAGUGAGCAUUGCCUGCCUCCUGCCAGGCUCCAGCUGGGUCCAGUACACCAGAACACACCCCCCAGUGUCCUCUGCCCUGUGUAUGCCCUUCCGCCACCCAGGUUGGAAGGUGGCAAACCGGAUGAGUAUCCUGGGAGGGUUGAGCUCACCGGCAGUGGCCAGGCCCCUGGGAAAGCUGGAGUUUGGGAGCAGCAUCCUCCAUGGGUCCUCCAGACCUUCCAGCAGGCCAAGUAGACCUGUGUUGGAGGUAACCCCACUCCCACGCCAGGUGCUGAUCCGGAGUGGCCGGGUGCCCAUUGUGUCCUUGGAGUGUGUGUCCUGCAAGGCACAGGCCGUGUACGAAGUGAGCCGCAGCUCCUACGUGUACCUGGAGGGCCGCUGCCUCAAUUGCAGCAGUGGCUCCAAGCGAGGGCGGUGGGCUGCACGUACGUUCAGCAACAAGACGCUGGUGCUGGAUGAGACCACCACGUCCACGGGCAGCGCAGGCAUGCGACUGGUGCUGCGGCGGGGCGUGCUGCGGGACGGCGAGGGAUACACCUUCACGCUCACGGUGCUGGGCCGCUCUGGCGAGGAGGAGGGCUGCGCCUCCAUCCGCCUGUCCCCCAACCGCCCGCCGCUGGGGGGCUCUUGCCGCCUCUUCCCACUGGGCGCUGUGCACGCCCUCACUACCAAGGUGCACUUCGAAUGCACGGGUUGGCAUGACGCGGAGGAUGCUGGCGCCCCGCUGGUGUACGCCCUGCUGCUGCGGCGCUGUCGCCAGGGCCACUGCGAGGAGUUCUGUGUCUACAAGGGCAGCCUCUCCGGCUACGGAGCUGUGCUGCCCCCGGGUUUCAGGCCACACUUCGAGGUGGGCCUGGCCGUGGUGGUGCAGGACCAGCUGGGAGCCGCUGUGGUCGCCCUCAACAGGUGAGCCAGGCCGUGGGAGGGCGCCCCCGAGACUGCCACCUGCUCACCACCCCCCUCUGCUCGUAGGUCUCUGGCCAUCACCCUCCCAGAGCCUAACGGCAGUGCAACGGGGCUCACAGUCUGGCUGCACGGGCUCACCGCUAGUGUGCUCCCGGGGCUGCUGCGGCAGGCCGAUCCCCAGCACGUCAUCGAGUACUCGCUGGCCCUGGUCACCGUGCUGAACGAGGUGAGUGCAGCCUGGGAGGGGACCUCACAUCUGCUGCAUGCGUGCUGGGGACCAAGACUUGUACCCCUGCCUGGAGCUUUGCAGAGGGCUCAUUCCAGGCCCCAGAGAUAAAUCCCAGUGACCCUGAAGCAGCACCCCGACCUUCAGCUCCCAGCAGCCACACCCACCGGGCCCUCUCCGGCGUCUGCUUUCCACAAUGCAGCCCCCGCCCAGGAGGGCCCAUGUGCUUACCCUGUUUUGCCCAUGAAGAGACAGCUCAGUGUUGCGGGUCAGUGCCCACAUCACACAGCAUCUAGCACGUAACUGCACCCCGGGAGUCGUGGGCAUCCGCUGGCCUCCUGCCGGCCUCCUGCCCUGCUGACAGCUUGCUGUGCCCCCUGCCUGCCCCAGUACGAGCAGGCCCUGGACGUGGCGGCAGAGCCCAAGCACGAGCGGCAGCGCCGAGCCCAGAUACGCAAGAACAUCACGGAGACUCUGGUGUCCCUGCGGGUCCACACUGUGGAUGACAUCCAGCAGAUCGCUGCUGCGCUGGCCCAGUGCAUGGGGCCCAGCAGGGAGCUCGUAUGCCGCUCAUGCCUGAAGCAGACGCUGCACAAGCUGGAGGCCAUGAUGCGCAUCCUGCAGGCAGAGACCACCGCGGGCACCGUGACGCCCACCGCCAUCGGAGACAGCAUCCUCAACAUCACAGGAGACCUCAUCCACCUGGCCAGCUCGGACGUGCGGGCACCACAGCCCUCAGAGCUGGGAGCCGAGUCACCAUCGCGGAUGGUGGCGUCCCAGGCCUACAACCUGACCUCUGCCCUCAUGCGCAUCCUCAUGCGCUCCCGCGUGCUCAACGAGGAGCCCCUGAUGCUGGCGGGCGAGGAGAUCGUGGCCCAGGGCAAGCGCUCGGACCCGCGGAGCCUGCUGUGCUAUGGCGGCGCCCCAGGGCCUGGCUGCCACUUCUCCAUCCCCGAGGCUUUCAGCGGGGCCCUGGCCAACCUCAGUGACGUGGUGCAGCUCAUCUUUCUGGUGGACUCCAAUCCCUUUCCCUUUGGCUAUAUCAGCAACUACACCGUCUCCACCAAGGUGGCCUCGAUGGCAUUCCAGACACAGGCCGGCGCCCAGAUCCCCAUCGAGCGGCUGGCCUCAGAGCGCGCCAUCACCGUGAAGGUGCCCAACAACUCGGACUUGGCUGCCCGGGGCCACCGCAGCUCCGCCAACUCCGUUGUGGUCCAGCCCCAGGCCUCCGUCGGUGCUGUGGUCACCCUGGACAGCAGCAACCCUGCGGCCGGGCUGCAUCUGCAGCUCAACUAUACGCUGCUGGACGGCCGCUACCUGUCUGAGGAACCCGAGCCCUACCUGGCAGUCUACCUGCACUCGGAGCCCCGGCCCAAUGAGCACAACUGCUCGGCUAGCAGGAGGAUCCGCCCAGAGUCACUCCAGGGUGCCGACCACCGGCCCUACACCUUCUUCAUUUCCCCGGGGAGCAGAGACCCAGCGGGGAGUUACCAUCUGAACCUCUCCAGCCACUUCCGCUGGUCAGUGCUGGAGGUGUCCGUGGGCCUGUACACGUCCCUGUGUCAGUACUUCAGCGAGGAGGACAUGGUGUGGAGGACAGAGGGGCUGCUGCCCCUGGAGGAGACCUCGCCCCGCCAGGCCGUCUGCCUCACCCGCCACCUCACCGCCUUCGGCGCCAGCCUCUUCGUGCCCCCAAGCCAUGUCCGCUUUGUCUUUCCGGAGCCGACAGCGGAUGUAAACUACAUCGUCAUGCUGACAUGUGCUGUGUGCCUGGUGACCUACAUGGUCAUGGCCGCCAUCCUGCACAAGCUGGACCAGUUGGAUGCCAGCCGAGGCCGCGCCAUCCCCUUCUGUGGGCAGCGGGGCCGCUUCAAGUACGAGAUCCUCGUCAAGACAGGCUGGGGCCGGGGCUCAGGUACCACGGCCCACGUGGGCAUCAUGCUGUAUGGGGUGGACAGCCGGAGUGGCCACCGGCACCUGGACGGCGACAGAGCCUUCCACCGCAACAGCCUGGACAUCUUCCGGAUCGCCACCCCGCAUAGCCUGGGUAGCGUGUGGAAGAUCCGAGUGUGGCACGACAACAAAGGGCUCAGCCCUGCCUGGUUCCUGCAGCACAUCAUCGUCAGGGACCUGCAGACGGCACGCAGCGCCUUCUUCCUGGUCAAUGACUGGCUUUCGGUGGAGACGGAGGCCAACGGGGGCCUGGUGGAGAAGGAGGUGCUGGCCGCGAGCGACGCAGCCCUGUUGCGCUUCCGGCGCCUGCUGGUGGCUGAGCUGCAGCGCGGCUUCUUUGACAAGCACAUCUGGCUCUCCAUAUGGGACCGGCCGCCUCGUAGCCGUUUCACUCGCAUCCAGAGGGCCACCUGCUGCGUUCUCCUCAUCUGCCUCUUCCUGGGCGCCAACGCCGUGUGGUACGGGGCUGUUGGCGACUCUGCCUACAGCACGGGGCGUGUGUCCAGGCUGAGCCCGCUGAGUGUCGACACAGUCGCUGUUGGCCUGGUGUCCAGCGUGGUUGUCUAUCCCGUCUACCUGGCCAUCCUCUUUCUCUUCCGGAUGUCCCGGAGCAAGGUGGCUGGGAGCCCGAGCCCCACACCUGCCGGGCAGCAGGUGCUGGACAUCGACAGCUGCCUGGACUCGUCCGUGCUGGACAGCUCCUUCCUCACGUUCUCAGGCCUCCACGCUGAGGUGAGGGCUCUACUGGGGGUCCUGGGCUGGGCUGGGGGUCCUGCCGCCUUGGCGCAGCUUGGACUCAAGACACUGUGCACCUCUUAGCAGGCCUUUGCUGGACAGAUGAAGAGUGACUUGUUUCUGGAUGAUUC